CCAACAGGGAUUGCCCCAGUAACGGCGAGUGAAGCGGCAACAGCUCAAAUUUGAAAUCUGGUCUCGGCCCGAGUUGUAAUUUGUAGAGGAUGCUUUGGGCGCGGCGCCUUCUGAGUUCCCUGGAACGGGACGCCACAGAGGGUGAGAGCCCCGUAUAGUUGGACGCCUAGCCUGUGUAAAGCUCCUUCGACGAGUCGAGUAGUUUGGGAAUGCUGCUCAAAAUGGGAGGUAAAUUUCUUCUAAAGCUAAAUACCGGCCAGAGACCGAUAGCGCACAAGUAGAGUGAUCGAAAGAUGAAAAGCACUUUGAAAAGAGGGUUAAAUAGCACGUGAAAUUGUUGAAAGGGAAGCGCUUGUGACCAGACUUGCGCCGGGCCGAUCAUCCGGGGUUCUCCCCGGUGCACUCGGCCCGGCUCGGGCCAGCAUCGGUUCUCGCGGGGGGACAAAGGCCUCGGGAAUGUAGCUCCUCCGGGAGUGUUAUAGCCCGGGGCGUAAUGCCCUCGCGGGGACCGAGGUACGCGCAUCUGCAAGGAUGCUGGCGUAAUGGUCACCAGCGACCCGUCUUGAAACACGGACCAAGGAGUCAAGGUUUUGCGCGAGUGUUUGGGUGUAAAACCCGCACGCGUAAUGAAAGUGAACGUAGGUGAGAGCUUCGGCGCAUCAUCGACCGAUCCUGAUGUAUUCGGAUGGAUUUGAGUAGGAGCGUUAAGCCUUGGACCCGAAAGAUGGUGAACUAUGCUUGGAUAGGGUGAAGCCAGAGGAAACUCUGGUGGAGGCUCGCAGCGGUUCUGACGUGCAAAUCGAUCGUCAAAUCUGAGCAUGGGGGCGAAAGA
RNAcentral lists this ribosomal RNA (832 nucleotides) under Ovatospora senegalensis. RNAcentral's name for it is "eukaryotic LSU rRNA". It matches the Rfam family "Eukaryotic large subunit ribosomal RNA", at positions 65 to 930 of the family's 3401-position model. Lineage: Eukaryota; Fungi; Ascomycota; Sordariomycetes; Sordariales; Chaetomiaceae. The record is from RNAcentral.